UACGUAGGGUGCAAGCGUUAAUCGGAAUUACUGGGCGUAAAGCGUGCGCAGGCGGUGAUGUAAGACAGUUGUGAAAUCCCCGGGCUCAACCUGGGAACUGCAUCUGUGACUGCAUUGCUGGAGCGCGGCAGAGGGGGAUGGAAUUCCGCGUGUAGCAGUGAAAUGCGUAGAUAUGCGGAGGAACACCGAUGGCGAAGGCAAUCCCCUGGGCCUGCACUGACGCUCAUGCACGAAAGCGUGGGGAGCAAACAGG
RNAcentral lists this ribosomal RNA (253 nucleotides) under uncultured bacterium. Its description in RNAcentral is "partial 16S ribosomal RNA". It matches the Rfam family "Bacterial small subunit ribosomal RNA", at positions 524 to 776 of the family's 1533-position model. The record is from RNAcentral.